Small nucleolar RNA from Cololabis saira (Pacific saury), 137 nucleotides. RefSeq annotates it as small nucleolar RNA SNORA47. Lineage: Eukaryota; Metazoa; Chordata; Actinopteri; Beloniformes; Belonidae. The record is from RefSeq and is a predicted model, not a curated record. The transcript has a single exon.
UGGAGGACUGAGAAGGUUGAACAGCUGCUGCUGUGCUGUUAUAACUGGUUUUAACCUCCAAAAGUAACUUAACAAACCACAUAGUUAGUCAUUCUGAUCUAUUCAGAAUAGAUGUUGGUUGGUUUGUUAAACAUUAC